GUGUCUGCUUUUUCAACACAUAUACUAAAUUAAAAUAAUACAGAGAUUAGCAUGGCCCUUGCACAAGGAUAAAAUGAGAAAACAGAAUCUUAGAAAAUAUUC
Spermophilus dauricus (Daurian ground squirrel) is the source of this 102-nucleotide small nuclear RNA. The record is from Ensembl. Lineage: Eukaryota; Metazoa; Chordata; Mammalia; Rodentia; Sciuridae.